Nasonia vitripennis (jewel wasp) is the source of this 8441-nucleotide RNA transcript. It is a transcript of the gene named segment polarity protein dishevelled homolog, with no coding region annotated. NCBI's taxonomy places the organism in Eukaryota, Metazoa, Arthropoda, Insecta, Hymenoptera, Pteromalidae. The transcript has 12 exons. The record is from RefSeq and is a predicted model, not a curated record.
CGCGACUCGCGGAGCAGUGCACCGCCGCCAUUUAUAUCCAGCGCACACAACACACAGACUAGCAGCAGCGGCCGUCUGGAGUAGGCCCUUCGCGACCGCCGCCGCAUCUCGAUAAGAACAGUCGAGCAGGCAAAUAGUCGCCGCGAGAAGUAGAAAAGCCGUGUCCAGUGCUGCAGUACGGCACCGUAGACAGACCGUGCGACGCUUUCCCCGGCGAGCAGCGAGAAGAAGAAGGCGGAGAGAAGGAAGAAGAUAAAAAAGAAGACCGAGCGCGAGAGAGACAAUAGGGGGCGGCUGCCGCAGCGCGGGUGUCUCUGAUGGGAGUAGUCCUCGGUGCCGGCGAGAUGCUGCCGCUCGCUGACUCCUGCGGGUCUGGCUCCUCGCUCUAAGCCUUUGUCCGGUGCCGUGUGCUUCCCGGCCCGUAGGCGGCCGACGCAACGACAGCAGCAGCAGUAGCGGCGACGACAGCAGAGGAUACGCGGAAUAAAGAGGGAGAUGGAGUAGUAGUAGCGCGGAGAGCAAGCGAGAGAGUGCGUGCGUGUGAAAUGAAAGUGCCGACGCCAUAUUGGCUGCUCGGCGAGGAGUGAGUCGCGCGCGGACGACGCCGAGGACGACGACGACGACGACGACGACGACUACGACGAAGUGGUGGUGGUGGUGAGUGCAGUGUGCCGCGGAACUAUGGAGGAGACCAAGAUCAUCUACCACAUCGACGACGAGGAAACGCCGUAUCUCGUGAAGCUCAACAUAUCGCCCGAACGGGUAACUCUCGCCGACUUUAAGAAUGUGCUCAACCGGCCGAACUACAAGUACUUCUUCAAGUCGAUGGACGAUGACUUUGGCGUCGUCAAGGAGGAAAUCGUCGACGACGAUGCACACUUGCCCUGCUUCAACGGCCGAGUCGUGUCCUGGCUUGUCUCGGCCGAGGGCAGUAACGUGUCGGACGGGGCGUCCCAGUGCACGGACACGGUGCCGCACCAGGAUCCGAAACACGACAGGGUGGACCAUGUGACGCCGGGUCACACCAACCGCGCCCAGCUCUCCCUCUCUCACGAGGACACGCUCACCGAGACCGAGAGCAUCAUCAGUAGCAGGCAGGGCCAUCACCUUCACAAAAGCUCACGGCAUCACACGGACAAGUACGAGAAGUACAACAAGUACAACGGCUUGCGCAUAAACGGCCACUCGAAGCACCGGUCUGGCAUGGGGUACGAAUCGGCGUCGAUCUUGAGCUCCGACCUCGAGACAACGACCUUUUUGGAGUCCGAUGACGAUGCCAGUAGUCGCAUCACCUCGACGACCGGCAGGCACACGAACAUGAGCAGUGCGGUAGACAGAGCAACGCUUGAUCGGCGCAGACCGCAGAGACGCCGACGACACAGGUUGCCACCAAUGUCCAGGACAUCUUCAUUCAGCAGUAUUACAGAUAGCACAAUGUCCCUUAAUAUUAUAACAGUCUCCUUGAAUAUGGAUACAGUCAAUUUCCUUGGUAUUAGCAUCGUCGGCCAGAGCAAUAAGGGUGGCGACGGUGGAAUCUACGUUGGAUCUAUAAUGAAGGGUGGAGCAGUGGCCUUGGAUGGUCGCAUAGAGCCAGGCGACAUGAUUCUCCAAGUGAACGACAUCAACUUCGAGAACAUGUCCAACGACGAGGCUGUUCGAGUGCUGCGUGAGGUCGUGCAGAAGCCUGGGCCGAUAAAGCUGGUGGUGGCCAAGUGCUGGGAUCCAAAUCCAAAAGGCUACUUCACGAUCCCACGAACGGAACCAGUGCGGCCGAUUGACCCUGGAGCGUGGGUGGCACACACGGCGGCCAUCAGGGGCGAGGGUUUCCCGCCUCGGCCGCCCAGCGCCACGACCCUCACAUCCACGUCCAGCAGUCUGGCUAGCACGCUACCCGAUACUGAGCUAAUGCAUUUGUUCUCAGGGCCGUUUGACGAGUUGGAUCUGUCUGUGAACACGGACAUGCCAACGAUCGUGCGAGCGAUGGCCCGGCCGGACUCGGGUCUCGAGAUACGCGACCGCAUGUGGCUGAAGAUCACUAUACCAAACGCCUUCAUCGGCGCGGAUGUCGUCGACUGGUUACACAACCACGUCAAGGGUUUCAUCGACAGGCGUGACGCUCGCAAGUAUGCUUCACUGAUGCUGAAAGCUGGUUUCAUCAGGCACACGGUCAACAAGAUCACCUUUUCCGAGCAGUGCUACUACAUAUUCGGCGAUCUCUGCUCGGCGAUGAGCAACAUGAAGCUGGACUGCGACACAGUCGGGCCUCUGCCACCGCCGAGCGCCUGGGACAUGCCUUACUCGGGAACGUACGCGCCCCAUUCGGCCACGGGAUACAGUCCCAUGCCCUUCAACUUUACCAACGAACCUACCGUUUACGGCUAUCAUCGAGAAGAGAGCUUGCACAGCGGUUCAGGAGGGAGCAGCGCGGGUAGCGAACUUAUGUUCAAGGCGCCCAUGCAUGAUGUAAAGUCUUGUUGUUCUGCUUCUGAAUCAGAACUGCAGAUGCCGGUGGUGCCGGCGAUGCCGAAGAGCACGGCGACGACAGUGACGACGGGCGGCAGCGGCAACGGCAACGGGAGCGGCUCUAACGGCAAACGGUCCAACGGCAGCCGCAGUCGCAGCAGCGGUUCCGAGCAGUCGGUGCAGACAGGGACCGGUUCCGGAGGAGGAGGCGGAAGCAGCGUCGGCCCCCAGCAGCAGCAACAGCAGCAAGACCUAUCUGCCUUAAGGUCCCGAGCCCAAUGCCUGAGGAGGUUUCGCUUUCAACGCGCGGACGACAAUCUACCCUUGACGCAGUUCGAAGCUAUGUCAAUCGUCGAUUGAUUACAAUUGGGGAUUUGCGAGAGAGUAGCGCGGAAAGUGAUUCUCUAUGGGGGACGAUAUCUUCUACUACCUUCUCUCCCACCUCCAAAGCACACAAUCACACACAAAAUCGCAAAAUCGCACUUUUUUCACGGAUUUUAUUUCUCGCACUCUUGUACGUGUACAAACAAAAUAAGGAUUGUCCAGUACAAUGGGGCAGCUAUUUCUUUAAAAAAGUCACAAUGGUCGUAUCCGUGAAGGAUAAUUAUCUCUGUCAGCUUAUAAACGAACGAAUCGUCGAGGUGAUACGAGAGAAAACGAAAUCGCAAAUGACAAAAUUUCGAUAUAAAUAUAUAAAAAAUGCAAACACUGCGGAGACACGAAUUGGCUAUCACGGGUCCGUUUUUUUUAUCGAGUACGAAGAUAUAUCGAUAUUCGAGGCUGUUUGAGCAAGGCGAGACAAACAAGUAAAUAAGAGAAAAAGAAAAAUAAUCAUAUUCGAGAAGGGUUGAUAAAAUACACGCACGCAGAUACGUACCUCGAGAAUUUUUUUACAUAUUUAUAUAUAAAUAAUUAUAAAUAUUAUAUAUAUGUUAAAAAAAUAUAUACGGAAGUGUUAAGAGAGAAGAGAGCAUGAGAAGAAAUGCAUAAGAAUAAGCAUACGCGUCGUUCUGUGUCGCAGCUAGACAACGCAAUUAUCGUAUUUUGCAGAACCGUAUAAUUGUAAAUAAUCAAUCAUAUCUAUAGUAACGACUACGCAUUAUACUCAAAUGUGCCAUUUACGCAUUCUUUCUUUCUAUUAGUUUAAAUCUAAAGCUAGCUAACGAAAAUUAAAUCUAAGACGUGCAAGUAGUGAAAAGCGGAAAAGCAGGCAGGCGGUGUACCGAAAGCGAAACAUUGAAAUUUAAAGAUCUUUUUUUUUAUUCAUUACGUUUAAAUUACAUGACAUACUACACACUGUGAAUGCUUAAAAAAAAAAGAAGACAUUGAUGUGUCGAUAUCGCAAGCAUAUUUUGUUCUCAUACAUUUUGUUCUUCGUUCAUUUUCUGCACAUUCGCAUGAGCAUUUUAUAUAUCAAACAAAACAACAGCCACAACAAAUCUAUGAACAAUUAGUCGUUAUUUAGGUCCCGAGGUAAGUGUGCCUGAGUAAUGAAUAUUUUUUAUCCGUUGCAUGUACAUAUAUAUAUAUAUAUAUAUAUAUAUAUGUACAUCUUAUUUGUACUCAGCCUCCACUCGCCUUGUCAAUUGUAUACGAAAAACGAAAAAGAGAUGAAAAACCGAAGAGACGAGCUCGUUGCUUUUUGUCUUCCGUAAUCAUCGCAAUCAUUGAUUAUGUGUGUGUAUGUUUCUUUUUAAGCCUGUAAUUAAUUGUGAUUUUGAUCUCGCUCGUCCGCAGCCCAGUGACGCUUAUACAUAUAUAUACACGCGUGAUCGUGGGCUCAGCGACGAGAGAAUUAACAAAUAAAACGGACGUUGAGCGAUGGCACAAUAAAAAAAAUUUCUCUACAAGAGCGCACCUCCUUAUUGAACUCUCGAGGCUUAACGUGACUCGAGAGUCGUAUUCGAAUAUACAUACAUAGAGAAUAAUCACUCGAUCGAGCUUAUUUAUUUAUGCUACUCGUUGGAUUGUAUUUGAUGUUAUCGUCUGGUUAAUGAAAAAAAAAUUAGCCGAGGGGCUGAAAGUCGACGUACAAAGAGUCAAUUUUUUCGUUAUUCUGUUUUACCUUCCGAAUCGUUUUUUUUUAUCGUGCUUUAAUUAUUAACGGUAUGAAUGUGACUAAAUUAUAGUAGACGAGUAAUCGAGAAAAUGAAAAUGAUACUCACACGGAGUAGCCGUUAUUCUGUGCAUAAAACAAUGAGUGUAAUCGCUAGACCUAAGAGAAUUUUAUAUAUUCGAGCCGACUUUCGACCUCGACGCUAUAGUUGUAUCGAACAAGUGUAAAUGUUUUCGGUGUCAGUAGUUUGCCUUUACGCAAUGAGAAAAAUUUUUGUUUCAGUAAUUAAGUGUAGCAAUUUUGUAGCCUAGGGUUCGGAGCUUUUCAACGAGCCUAUGUAUACAUUUUUUACCUCUCGUCGCGACGAAGUAUAAUCAAAAGGACACUUAUCAAAAAGGGAGUUGACGCGUAGAACUCUAACGUAGCUUUCAACCGAGUAAUUAUUUUGUAUAUCAUAUGUCGAACGCGUUCGCAUAUCGCAUCCUUAGGCUUGUCGAAAACAUUCCCUGCCCGAGGUGUAUGACACGUAAAAGUGACGCCAAAAACUACAUACGCAAGCGCGUCGCAAUUAUAAGUGGAACUUUUCAUGCAUUUCGAUAGAAAAGAUAUGGCAGAGCAAAGAGUAAAAAGCAAGAGAUCGAUAAUUAAAAGUAGUUGAGACACGUUUAACUAGUAAUUGUAAAAGACUUUUUAUACGAAAAACUAUCACCCAAUUGACGCCGCAUCGCUUUUUGGCGAGCCUCUGAUAAUUGACAUGAAUUAUAUCGUCAGCAUUAUAUCCCUUUGUAAAAUAUACUCAUAUUUUAUAUUAUGCCUGGCCUUGUGGGCUUCGUUCGACAAUUUCUGGCCUCUUGCUGUGAAAGGAACGCGCAUUAUAAGUAGACACAUCCGUUUGGCCGUCGAGUCGUAAUGGAAGCCAGAAGUAGCCGAGCGAUCCGACCGCUUUUUCUUCCUCUACUUCUUGUCUUAUAUAUUUCUCUCUUGGACCGUUUAUAUAAAUGUCUCACUCACUCUCACCGUCACAUCCAAUAUCACCGCCACCACCACCACCACUAUCACCAUUUCGAUUUGUGUAUUAUAUAUGUGUUGCACUCUCUGUCCACCUUGAUUUUGGUCAUGACGUCAAGCUGUCUCACCCAACCUUUGUCCGCGGGCACGAAGCACGAGUGCACCAUGUGAGAAACGGGCAAACAAACAAACAAAAAUACAUUACAAGUCCCACAAGUCACACGUUGUAAUCCAGUUAAAUAUAUUUUUGUGCCUUGCCGUGCAUCUCAAAACCGUCACCCAAUAAAGCAGUCCGACGAGCCCAAGAAGAGACCCAGACGCAGACCAGCGACCUGGACAACAGCAGAGAUGAUGAAGAGGACAUCCUGGAGUACCAUUUCUUGCACAAGUGAAGAGUCUGCGAGGACGAGACGGCAGCUGCAGCGUCGGAUCGAUGCGCGGCCCAGAACAAGUGAUACCUGCUGAAACGAAACGAAUAAGAUAUAAUAUACCGAGGCAAAGGAGCAAAAUGAAAGGACGAAAUUCGUUACCCCUGAAACACACGUACAGACACGUAUAUUUGAGGCUACUUUGUUAGGGCCAUCGCCGACACACGAGAUAUGCAUAUUAUAUUUCUAUAUAUUUCAUAGAAAGUUUUUUUAUAUAUAAAGGACUUGAAGUGAAAAAAAGCGCGCGAGCAGUGAUGUAGCAGGAAAGUGAAAUGCAGCAAGGCAAGCUAUGGGUGACAAACAAAAAAGUAACAGAUCAAUUGACGAAAGAGAGAGAGAAAGAGAGAUUCGAGCGUUUACAAAAUAAAAGUAAUGUACCACUUGCACUAGAUAAGUGUAUAUGCGUAUGUAAGAUUUAUAAGGUAUCCAAUGUUGUUGUAUUUAAUGAGUAUAUAUAAUUAUAUACGCGGGGAGAAGAAAAGCAAGACGAAAAAGUAAAAGACACAGAGGGACAAAGGGGGGGAUGAAAAAAAUAUAUCGUUCGAUUAAAAUGCGAGGGUUUGCUCGAUCCGCGACAGUACAAUAUCGGGGAUUCGAGCCACCUUCGGACUUCGAUCGUCGCUCUCACACCAAAACGACUCUCUCGCACACUCACACACGUACUCAUCAUUCACGCACACACGACCAAUCAAAACCAACAGACAGGCAAAUAUACACAUAUAGGCAAGCGAAUCGCCGAGAAGAGAAAAGAAGCCGAUGAAAAAAAAAAUUAAUUAAUAAAUAUAAUAAUAGUGUAUUCAAACAAUUAAUAAUGCGCGCCGCGGUGGCCCGUGGGGAGUCGCCGCAGCCGUUGCGCGCGCGUGAGGAAAGAAACUCUCGUCCCACUCACCCUCCCGACAGCUGGGAAUUGACGAGGCGCUCGAUCGAUUCCCAGUCUCUCUCAAACGCACCUACACAGCCAUACACACGCAAACUCCAUACCAUUACACACCAACCACCAACUUCAGGUACUCGAAUCGUAGUAGAUGUUUAAGGCGCCUUAUAAAAGCGGGAUCGUCUCCCGCCGAAAUUGCGAGCGAUCGUCUCCCAUUAUAAAUCUUUUCAAGCGCACGCACAACAUGCACACGUAUACUUGUCAUUGUCGUCCUUUUUCACUCCCCAUACAUGUGUCGCUGAGACGUCAUCGUCGUGGCUUUGUCGAGUGUCGAGUAACGUUUUAAUAAUCAAAAUAACACGAUACGUAAUCGGAAAGUAUACGUAUAUGUACGCAUAUAUACAUAGAGGGAUAAUACGGAGAUUAUACAGGAUAUAUAUUCUAUUGUAAAUUUGUGUAAAAAAAGCACGUUAUUAAAGGGAGCUGAUCGUGUGAGAGUACCUUGAGAUUCGGCGUGCUCGUUCAUCAGUUAAUAUACAGAAUCAUACUGAGAGCUUCGUCGACUCCGUAGUGCACAAUCAAAAUAAUAACCUGUAGGUAUAACUUACGAGAGGGUAACAAUUCUGAAUGUUAAAGCAAUCAAAAGUUCGGGUCAUUUAUACGUUGAUUAAUUUGUUUGAAUUUUCAAAAAGCCGCAGCCUAAGAUGCACUAAAGUAAUUGUGACUUUCCACCAAUCUUAUCGAUUGGCCUAACAAGUCCGCGACUUUUUUAAAAAUCAUUUUUUAUUGCUGCACGAAAAAGUAUUAAUAGUAUAAUAUAGCGCCGCCGCAUAAGUAUUAAUCGCAGGGACGCGAUUUAAAAAUUCGACACUUCGAGAAGCCAUAGAGAGACGUCGAAGCGAAAGGCAACCCCGAUGAUCAAUCGAAAUUUCGGCGCGAUCCCGGUAUAAACGAUUUUCUCUCCCUGUCAUGUCGGGUCGAACAGCUCCUUUUUUUACGCUCAAGUCGGCGGCCGUCAAGCUAACGGUCGUCGAUCGACGCAGUAUACAUGUACAAAGGUAUCCGUACCGACUUUUUGAUAUAUGCGUUUUUUCAAGGUGUAUAGCUCUUCUUCUCAUCUCUCGAAGAGAGCAAAGAGAAAACAGAAGCAAACAUAUUAUGUCGUACACACUGUCUUUCGUUAUAAAUAUCUCUGUCUUCGAACGCGGCAUUCGUUUCAAUUAUAAUAGCGUAUAAGGUUCAUAGAAGCGAAGGAUAUGAGAAAGCAACAAACAAACAAAGAAUAAUUAACGCAACAAAGUCUGUGCCAAAUAUGCAUGUUGAAAGUCUAAAACGCUUCCCGUCAAUCGCCCGCAUCACAAUACCGAAAUAACGUACAUACACAAUGAAAAGGACACACCUUAAUAUCUAAUAUCGAGAAAUAAAGAAGACUUAUGAAACGAAAUGAAGACUAAGCUCAGAUAUAUAAUACGAGAUUAUAAUAUGCGACCCGUCGAAGGAACGUAAGAACUGAUUCGUACGAAUUUAAACACGAGGACUUUUCUUUAUCGACACUUUUGUAUUCUAGAAAAUAAAUUAAUCUGGUGUGACCAGCAUCAGUAAUUGCCAUGAA